GAUGAACGCUAGCGGCAGGCUUAAUACAUGCAAGUCGUGGGGCAGCGCAGGUAGCAAUACUGGGCGGCGACCGGCAAACGGGUGCGGAACACGUACACAACCUUCCGAGAAGUGGGGAAUAGCCCAGAGAAAUUUGGAUUAAUACCCCGUAACAUAACGAUGUGGCAUCACAUUGUUAUUAUAGCUUCGGCGCUUCUUGAUGGGUGUGCGGCUGAUUAGAUAGUUGGCGGGGUAACGGCCCACCAAGUCUACGAUCAGUAGCUGAUGUGAGAGCAUGAUCAGCCACACGGGCACUGAGACACGGGCCCGACUCCUACGGGAGGCAGCAGUAAGGAAUAUUGGUCAAUAGGACGGCCAAGUACC
This 363-nucleotide ribosomal RNA is filed under the name uncultured bacterium. RNAcentral's name for it is "bacterial SSU rRNA". It matches the Rfam family "Bacterial small subunit ribosomal RNA", at positions 28 to 389 of the family's 1533-position model. The record is from RNAcentral.